RNAcentral lists this long non-coding RNA (21616 nucleotides) under Fragaria vesca (wild strawberry). RNAcentral's name for it is "long non-coding RNA (FVES_LNC002148)". Lineage: Eukaryota; Viridiplantae; Streptophyta; Magnoliopsida; Rosales; Rosaceae. The record is from RNAcentral.
UAUUGUUGCCAGAUUGCCUGGGACAGGCAGCAACAAGAUCACUAGUGAUCCGUAUGUGACGGUUUCAGUUGCAGGUGCUGUGGUUGGGAGGACCUUUGUGAUUAGUAAUAGUGAGAAUCCUGUUUGGGAGCAGCAUUUUGAUGUUCUGGUUGCGCAUUAUGCUUCACAGGUGCGUUUUGUUGUGAAAGAUAGUGAUGUGGGUUCACAGCUCAUAGGUGUUGUGGCAAUCCCAGUUGAGCAGAUAUAUUCCGGCAUGAAAGUUGAGGGGACUUAUCCGAUUCUUGGUUCCAAUGGGAAGCCUUGUAAGCCUGGAGCUGCUUUGAGUUUGUCGAUUCAGUAUAUCCCUAUUGAGAAAUUGACCUUUCAUAAUAAUGGGGUAGGUUUGGAUCCUGAUCACCAAGGGGUUCCUGGCACUUACUUUCCUGUUAGGAGAGGCGGUAAGGUUACUUUAUAUCAAGAUGCUCAUGUGCCUGAUGGUUGCCUUCCGAGUAUCAAGCUUGACGACAAUGUUGAGUAUGAGCAUGGGAGUUGUUGGCAAGACAUAUUUGAUGCAAUAAGUCAGGCUCGUCAUUUGAUAUACAUUGUGGGAUGGUCAGUGUACCACAAAGUUAGGUUGCUCCGGGAUGGUAGAACAGAUUGCAUGUUAGGUGAUCUUCUUAAGAUCAAGUCGCAGGAAGGUGUGAGAGUGCUGCUUCUUGUUUGGGAGGAUCCAACUUCUACCAGCAUUAUGGGAUAUAAAACGGUAAGCCCUUAGAAGAUAUAAUAUAUUUCCUUGUGUGAUUUUCCUGCACUGUAACAUACUUUUGGUUCAAGUGUCAAUGUUAUAUUAUCUUUUCACAGAUAUGGUUGCUCUGAUUUCUGUGCUUUUGUUGAACAAUUAAGUUAUAUUUGGCCUGAUGUUGGGCUCUCAAAACGCCUUUGCAUAUCUGAUAUAUCCCUUUCUUAGAAUGUAAUGAUGAUGAUCAAUACUUUUAGCCAUGGGAAAGCAUUCCUGUAGGUUUUCAAAUGCCAUAUAUUCCAUGCUUUCUUGUUGGCUUUGUUUUUGGCAAACAUGAUAAAGGUGAAGCAGUUGGCUAAUUUUUGAUAAUGUCAUAGCAGAAGCGACCCAAAGUGAAGUGCAUACAAAUUUGAUUUUAUUUUCCAGCCUAUAUUCAUUCUCUGUCAUUCAUACUGAUCAUUUUUAUCCUCUAUGCACAAAAGCUUAUGCUUCAUUUGCCUGAUCCUGUGUUUUACUUAAAUUAAUACUCUAGAAGACUAAUAUUUUGUUUCUCCAUUGGCUAUUCAUUUAUCAUUUCAUAUUUCACUAGAUGUUGAUACUGCGUAAUAUGUAGGAUGGAAUCAUGCAAACCAAAGUUGAGGAAACUCGCCGUUUCUUCAAGCAUUCUUUAGUCCAAGUGCUACUUUGCCCUCGAUCAGCUGGAAAGGGUAGCUGGGUCAAGAAACAGGUUUGACAAAUUGUUCUUGUUUGUUUGUACCUUUUAGCUUGACGUGGUUGAAAUGUCAUUUACUUAUCUAACUACAAUACUAGAAAAUUAAAGAAAUUCAAAUCAACACAGGAGAAUCUUGAUGGUCUUGAUCUGUUCCAGGCAUAAAAGUUACUCUUAAAUUUGGAGGACUAGGAAGAGUUUUCCCUUUGAGGUCUCUUGACAUGUUGAUAGUAUUAUUCAGAAUAUCAACAUUUCAUAUGGCAGAAUUAACCUUAUUUUAUUGAUGUGAAAUGAUAUAUGCCACCGUGCAUUUUGUUUUCAUGCUAAAAUCUGCUUACAAGUUUUUCUUUUUCACUGGUCCCAGAAUUCUGAUCUGUUCUUUGAAACUAUAGGCACAUACACAAAUCUUUGAUUUAUGUUUGCAUGUGCUGUGUACUCCAGGAGAGACUCAGCGGUUGCAUAUAGUUUCUUUGUCUGUAUAGUGUAUACUUAUAUAAUUUCUGAAUAAUUCUUGCUUCGCAUCUCUUGGUUUUGUAUUUGGUUACAGGAAGUAGGAACAAUCUAUACCCACCAUCAGAAAACAGUGAUUGUUGAUGCUGAUGCAGGUCAGUUUAGAAGAAAGAUAAUUGCAUUUGUUGGGGGUCUGGAUCUGUGCCUGGGACGCUACGAUACUCCAGAGCAUCCUAUAUUUAGGACUUUACAGACAGUCCACAUGGAUGAUAAUCAUAACCCUACUUUUUCGGUAAGCAUCUUAUAUAUUUCUGCUUUGUUGUAGGAUGCUCUUGUUUAAGCCAUCUUAUGUGAUAAGACUCAUUUGUUACUGGCCAGGAAUGGUGGCUAGAAAAUGUUAUUUGUUGAACAUAAAGCAACUAAGCAUGUACCUGGUUUAAAUGCUAACCUUAACUUGUAAUUGAUUGACUUGGCUAUUCACAAAUGAGGACAUGAUCAGAUAUAUUCACAAAAAUGGAUGAUAAUAGCUCUAGGAUUUAGGGGGUUACACCGACCAUUGGCGAAUCUUUCUUAAAUAUAUCUCAUAGUUUUGUGAUUCUACAGAUCUACUUUAGUUUUGAUAUUGGUUUCGUAGCUGAUAACAAAGAUUGGGAUAACCUUGAUGAUUAGAUCUCCAUUAUGAUUAUCUAUAUUGUUUUCGUGUUUGACCUUUUAGCCCGUUUGCUUUUUAACACAAACAGGACCGUGUUGUUGGUUGUCCAAGGCAGCCAUGGCAUGAUUUGCACAGUAAAAUUGAAGGUCCAGCAGCAUACGAUAUCCUCGCCAAUUUUCAGGAGCGUUGGUUAAAAGCUUCAAACCCACGUGGGAUUCAGAAUCUAAAAGCACAUGAAGAUGCAUUACUCAAGAUUGAGAGGAUCCCUGAAAUUAUGGGGAUGGCAGAUCUUCCUCAACCGAGUGAGGAUGAUCUAGAAGCUUGGGACGCUCAGGUAUACUGGAUGACAAUCAGCUAUUUCGGAGUUGUUUAAUGAGUAUUAUAUGUAUGGUAAAGUGUUGACUGUUUCUGAACAAUUGAAGGUUUUUCGUUCAAUUGAUUCCACUUCUGUGAGAGGAUUUCCAGAAAACCCAAAAGAUGCUUCGAGCAUGGUAAGAGAAACUUUAGUUCUUAACUAAUGUGCACUAUGCUCUAAUUUCAAAUUUAUAUCAUUGAUGGUUUAUGUCUCCCUACGUGCAACAGAACCUGGUGUGUGGGAAAAAUGUUUUGAUAGACAUGAGUAUACAUGCCGCAUAUGUCAAAGCAAUCCGCACUGCUCAACAUUUCAUUUACAUAGAAAACCAGUACUUCCUUGGAUCAUCAUAUAAUUGGACCUUGUACAAUGAUUUAGGUGAGAACUCUUAACGUUAGUAGCAGGGGACUGACAAAGGAAAUAAAAGUGGUGGAAACAUGUCAGUAUUCCUGAUGUAGGAACACACAGUAUACUUUCCUUAUUUUCCAGUCUUGUAGUUGCGUUAUAUGCUGAAUGUGAUUGAAUCUCCCAGACUGACAGGACCUUUUAACGUUCUGGGAACUAAAUUAUACUGAGGCCCUAGUAGUGUAGCUUCCACCCACCUCCAAAAUGUGAAUCUCUUUAAUUUUUUAAGAAGAGAUCAAUAACAAAUCCUUGAUGACAAGAAGAUAGUCUGCGAAUGUCAUUUGCAUUAUUUGUUAGAUCCUAUCUUAUCGUCUUUCCAACUGAUUUAUCGUCAUACUGAUAAUGGUGAUAAUGCCUUUAUGUGCAGGUGCAAACAAUUUAAUACCAAUGGAAAUUGCUCUCAAAAUUGUGAAUAAAAUUAAAGCAAAUGAGAGGUUUGCUGUGUAUAUUGUUAUCCCCAUGUGGCCGGAAGGUGUUCCUACUAGCACUCCUAUUCAACGAAUUCUCUUUUGGCAGGUAAUCUAGUUACCAUAAAAUAAUGCAGGUUGUAGAUUUUAAUGAACUAUUGUUCAAUUGAGACUUUUCAGAAUUCAAAAUGUUAAACACAGAUUAUUAAUCCCUACCCUAGAAAUAGCAAGAGAUGUACACUGUUCAUAUUAAUCAGAAAUACAAGAUGUAGUCCAAAGCUCUCUGCUGCGUUUUACAUUUUCUGCUUUGCAUCUUUCAAUUUCAAUAAGCCUUGAUUCCUAUCAAUUAAAAUUUUUGAGAAUGAAUACUGUACAAAUGAAGCUCUUGGUGUCCUAGUAAAGUAUCUGCUGAUUCCAAACUUAAUUCAACUUAUCUUUAAAAAUAUCCACUUUUGGUUUCUGACAUGUUGGAAUGAUUACUGUUCAGACGUAGUGCUGUCAAACAGAAUUCAUGAGCCUAUUGCUGCUUGUUUUUCACCUGUUGUCUUGCUUUGUUACUGCAGCAUAAAACAAUGCAAAUGAUGUAUGAAAUGAUUUACAAGGCUCUACUGGAGGCUGGACUUCACAAUAGAUAUUGUCCCCAAGACUAUUUGAAUUUCUUUUGCCUCGGUAAUCGUGAGAAACCAAGUGGUGAAGAAAGUUCUUCUGCAAAAAAAUUAAAUGAAGCAAACAAAAAAGAAGCAAACACUCCUCAAGUAAGUCCCUCAUACUUAUCUCAAGUCUCCAGUAGAUAUCUUGUAUUCUCUCAUCUAGAAUCCCAUAUACUAAAAAAAAAAUUGUGCUGGUUUUGGUAACCCAGGCACUCACUCGGAAGAACCGGCGCUUUAUGAUUUAUGUUCAUUCAAAAGGAAUGAUAGUGGACGAUGAAUAUGUCAUAAUUGGAUCUGCAAAUAUCAAUCAGCGAUCCAUGGAAGGUACCCGAGAUACUGAAAUAGCAAUGGGGGCUUAUCAGCCUCAUCAUACUUGGGCAAGAAAACUCUCAAGUCCACAUGGAAAGGUAACAUGUGAAAACUGUGUGUGUGUGUCUUUGAAGCCGAUAGAACUCAUAGAAGUAUCUUGCACAUGAUGAAAUGAUAAUUCAUUCUUAGAACUCCAACCAAUAUAGACUGUUAGACGCCAGAGCAUACAAUUUUAUGGAUUGUGUACGAAAGUUAAUUGGUAACCCAUGUGUGAUUGCAGGUAUAUGGAUAUAGAAUGUCACUGUGGGCAGAGCAUAUAGGACUUGUUGAAAAAUGUUUCAAGCAGCCAGAGAGUCUUGAAUGUGUCCAAAGAGUAAGGACUUUGAGUGAGCAGAACUGGAGUCAAUACAUAGCCGAUGAAGUCACAGACAUGAAGGGUCACCUCCUGAAAUAUCCGGUUGAAGUUAGUCCAACCGGCAAGGUGGAGCCUCUUCCGGGAUGCGCAGCAUUUCCAGAUGUUGGCGGCUACAUAUUGGGGAGUUCUGACGUUCAGUUUACAGAGUUGACAGGAGAUUUUGAAACAACAGGAGAUGUUCGGUCCAUGGCUUGUAAGUUAUUAUCAGCUCUGUCUCUCUGUUUGGUGAUUUGUUGGAGGUAUCUCCAGCUAGAAUCUUUUUCUAGAAUUAUUAUUACUACACUUUCCAACAGGAAGCCUAAACUCUCAUAACUAUGUAGGAGUAAAAUGUCACAAGUAACACUUAUGACUUCUAAGUUCGAUGACACUUCACUUGUUAGCGUCAUUUAAAUCACUAUACAUUUUGGUUGUUUCCAGCACUGUGAAUACAUUUGUUGGUUGCUUGACUGUUAUUGAGAAUCCGUUUAGAUUUUGUUGUAUUUCAGUGUCCUGACCACCACCCUAAAAUCAUCCACAUCUCUUACCAGCUCCCCAGCCUGAGCCAGCUCCUGUGAAGAAUGAUGUGCUUUCAGGUUUCGGGAUGGAAGACGCUCGCAGGGGUAUUGUAGCCCAUUCAGACCAUGAAUUGGAAAGCACAGGAAUAAGUAGAACAUUCAGGGAUGAAGACCACUUUGAAAAAGGGGUAGCCCUCCCAUCUACAUCACCAGUUAUUGGGCAAAAAAAUGAUGAGUUUUUGAAUACCAGGGGAGAGGACAAUCAUAGGGGUUUUGUCACCCAUUUGGGUCACGAAACACAAAACACCGAUGAAAAUCAUCUUGAAGAAGAGAUACCUGUCCCCUCUACGUCUCCACCUUCACCAGCUGUGGGAGAUCAUCGGGUGAAGUAUGAUGUGUUUUUGAGUUUCAGGGGGGAAGAUACUCGAAAGGGUUUUAUCGCCUAUUUAUACCGUGAAUUGCAAAAAACCAGAGCGAUUAAAACUUUCAAGGAUGACGCGCAACUGAAAAAAGGGACUGUUAUUGCUUCAAAUCUCCUAAGGGCAAUCGAAGAAUCAAGGUUUGCGAUUAUUGUGUUUUCCGAGAAGUAUGCUGAUUCUGCAUGGUGUUUGGAUGAACUUACAAAGAUUUUUCAAUGCAUGGAGGGUAAGGACACAAUUCUCCCAAUUUUUUAUCAGUUGGAUCCCGCUGUUGUACGAUAUCAAAAGAAAGAGACCAGUUUUGGUGAAGCUUUCGUCAAGCAUGAAGCUAGACAAGACAUUGAGAAGACGAACCAGUGGAGAGCUGCAUUAAAAGGAGUGGCAGGAAUCUCUGGGUGGAAUUCAAACACUUUUCCGUAAGCAUAUGUUUACAAUACUUGGUACUUUCAAUUUAUUAUUUGGAUGAAGAUUAUUUUGAACCCUUCUUCCUUGUAGGACGGAGGUAGAACUAAUCGAUGACAUUGUGAAACAUUUGUUGGAAAAAGUACUUCAAGCACCCACCAGAACUUUUGGAACAUUUGAAGCGACAGGGCAAGUCAUGGAUGAGGUCAUGAAGGUGUUAAAAGAUGAUCAAGUCACUGUCCUUGGGGUGCAUGGAGUAGCUGGCGUUGGAAAGACGACUAUGGUCAAACAUGUUGGUGCACAAGCUGAGAAAGAUGGGCUUUUUGAUCGUGUGAUUAUGGUUGUCAUAUCCAAAAGCCCUGACUUGCAAGAAAUUCAAGGCACGCUAGCAGAUUCAUUGGGCCUGAAGGAGGGGAUCAAGAGAGGAGAUAGGAUGCUUAUAAUCUUGGACGACAUUUGGGAGAGUUUUGAACUCUCAGGCAUUGGAAUUCCCGGUCACCAUGAGCUUCAAAACUGUUACUCUAAAGUUGUAAUCAUCACAAGGAACAGCAACGUCUGCCAUUCUAUGGGGUGUCAUGCCCAGAUCGCUCUCAAUAUUCUAUCAGAUGAAGAUUCUUGGAAGUUACUCAAAGAGACCUCGGGGAAGUCUUUUGAUGAAUCUGCAAAUUCCUAUGAUGAAGAGAGGAAGGUAGCUCAAGAAUGCAGAGGUCUCCCAAGAGCAAUAAAAGCAGCUGCAAGGUCACUUGGAGAUAAAUACCGGGAUGAAUGGAAUGAAGCAGUUGCAAGGGAAUUUGGAGGCUUGGACGAAUGGAAUGAAGCAGCUCAAGCCUUCAACCUUGAAGCUGAGAAGGGCUCUUUUCAUUCAUUGGAGGAUACAUAUCACUCACUGGAAUCUGAUGAUGCCAAGUCAUGCUUCUUGCUAUGCUGCUUAUUCCCAGAAAAUUAUGAUAUCCCAAUUGAGAAGUUGCUCAAGUAUGGGAUUGGAAUAGGUUUGUUUCAAUAUGAUUCAAUGCAAGAAGCCAGAGAUAGAGCACAUUCUGUGGUUAAGUACCUCAAAGCUUCUAGAUUACUUCUGGAGGGUACAAAGGAGGGAUGUGUAAGGACGACCGAUGACAUUCGAAAUCUGGCAUUGUCCGAGGAAGGCGAUGGGCUUUUAGUAAAAGCUGGUUGUGAGCUAGAGGAGUGGCCAGACGCAGAGGCAGUAUGGUCGCAAGGUAUGCCAGUAAUGCCACUGCAGCCCUUUAGAUUUUAUUAUUAUUAUUUAUUUAUUUUUCCUUUUUUAACCAUCACAAAUUCUAUUUUAUUUGUGGCUAACAAUUUCGCACUCUUAGGAUUGACUUGGACCCAUUCCUGGCACUGGGAUUGUCCAAUUGAUACUCAUGAAGGCUACUCAAUAAUCUCACUAAUGAGAAACAAGCUUCACAAGCUUCCUGAAUAUUUGGUAUGUUCAAAGCUCCAAAUUUUGUUACUACAAAGUAAUGCUGGUAUAUGUGACAUUCCAGAAACCUUUCUUCAAAGUCCUAGUGCGCUAAGGGUCUUUGAUCUUAGCUUCACCAGUAUUUCGUCACUACCUCAGUCAUUCAGUUUCCUAACCAGCCUCCAAGCUUUGAAUUUGGAUUUUUGCAGCAAUUUAAGUGAGAUAUCUGUCUUAGGAAAUCUUAAGAAACUUGAGAUUCUUAGUAUGAGAGAACUUCCUCUUAAGAAUUUACCAAAACAAAUAGGAAAUUUGACCAGUCUGAGGAAGUUGGACGUCACUGGUAGAUAUCUUGAAACAAUCCCAUCUAAAGUGUUAUCGAAGUUGUGUAGAUUGGAAGAACUGCACAUGAAGUUUCAAUUUGGGAAGUGGGGAAGUAAAAUUGAGGAUGCAUCUGAAGAAACCAACGCUAACUUUGAUGAGUUGACUAGUUUGCUGGAUUUAAACAUUUUGGAAGUUUACAUAUCUGAUGCUACAUGCUUGCCUCAAAGUGUUGAGUACUUCAACCCGAAUUGGGUAGAAUUUGAUAUAUGCAUCAGCAGGGACGUGUUGCUCCCUCGAUAUGAUGGUUUUUCAAGAACCUUGACUCUUGACACAACAAUCAAUAGCUUACCGGAUUGGUUUAUCAGCGUUGUGACAGCGAAAGUGGAGCGGCUAGAGUACACAAAUUGCGAUGAUUUGAAUGACCUUGUUGGGGAAUAUGACCAUGGCAGAUUAUUUGUGCUGAAAUAUCUCUCUGUGAACGGGCACCAUAAGAACUUGAAAGAGAUAAUCAACACAAUGAGACGGGUUUCAAAUAAACCGGUAUUUGAGAACUUGGAAGAUUUGCAUCUGCACUGCUUAUAUUCCCUCGAGGAGUUGUGUGUUGGUGAGCUACCACCUGGGUCCCUACGCAAGCUCAAGUUAUUGAAAGUGCAAACAUGUCAUAGCUUGGUGAAUGCACUUUUACCAUUGACAUUGUUGCCGAGAUUACAAAAUCUGGAAAAAAUCAUUUGUGUACAUCUGGACAGAAUGAAAUAUGUUUUUGGAUCUGAUGAAGGGGGUGUUGAUUCAGAGAAGAUUUUCUUGAGGAAAUUGAGGGAGAUGAGAUUGUGUGCUCUAGAAGAACUAGUAAGAAUAUGCAACGGUCCUGCUCCGCAUGCAAUCUUCCAGAAUCUAAAAGUUUUGGCAAUCUGCGAGUGCAAGGAACUGAAAAGCCUCUUCACAAUAGACGUUGCUAAAUGUCUUUUUCAGUUGGAAGACCUUUGCAUAGAGCAGUGUCCUCGCUUGGACAGAGUCAUUGAAGCAAGCAAUAGCUUGAACAGCGAGAUUACACUUCCGGCGUUGAAGAGAUUAGCUUUGAUUGAUCUUCCGGUGCUCACAAGGUUCUGCACUGAAAGUGGUAAUAUUGAAACUCGGUGUCGGUGCCCUUCAUUGGAAUACUUGUACGUGGAGAACUGCAUCAAGUUUUCAUAUUAUGCAAACUUCCACUUCAGUAAGAAGCAAAUUCACUUCAAUGAUCAACACCAUUUGAGUUCUCUAGUGAAAAGGUACGUGUUGUCAUAAAUUUCAAACAUUUAUUUAUUUAUUUAUUUUUUUCUGUUCCUGAGUCUUUUUCUUCCUCUUCUGAGUCGUUUCUCCAGCAAUCCCAAAUGUCUUUCCAGUCAUUUAAGCAUUGUCUAAUACUCUAUUUCCAGUCAGAGAAGUGAAGUAUUGAAGUGUAAACAUUGAUGAAACACCUCCUAAUUAAAUUGGUGACUUAUUUACUUCUUUUCAUUUCAAAAUGACUUGUCAGGUGGAAGGAAAUGCAUAAUCAGCUAUAAGAGAGCUGCUGCUGCACUAGGAAAAAAGAGAUGUUCAGUAGUCCCAGAACAAGAUUACUCAGUUAGCUGUAUGAAUGCUAUUAUUAUCUCUUAGUCUUGCAUUGGCCUGCAAUCUUUAUGUUGGAAACUUUUGAUUAAGAGGGUAUUUAAAAAAGUAACUUGGGGUUUGACACAAUGACACAGCAAUUUGAACAACAGGACUCUAAACUAGAGAGAACACUACGGAAAAAAAAAAAAAAACCCAAACUAGAGCAAAGAGGGUACACCAGAAGAACAUUUCUUUUUUUUUUCUUUUUCUUUUUGAAAAGGAUAACCUAUAUUGCUUAACCAAUGACCAAAAGACAGUACAUCAAAAUGCCAUUCUCCACAGUGUUAAGGGAGGUUUACAAGCACCAAAACAUGUACUUUUACUAAUUACACAUAGGCUCAAAAGAAAAUGAUAAAAAUUUUAUUACCUAAUUCCAUAGAACAUAAUAUUAGCUGCUUAAGACCUCAAUUGAUAUAUACCUAACAAACUUAAGAAUUAAACAAAAAAAGUACAUCUGAUGCUCAGGCAUAGACGCCCGAGGCCUAAGUGAUGCCCCUACCCUUAGCAUUAGGGCGAGCCAUCAACCUAGCUGCAAAAUUAGCCUUCUUAGCUUGGAACCCAGGACCAUCAACCUAAGCCCAAUCUUGACCAGUCUUAGAUUUGAGCCCAAACCCAAGCUUGAAGACCCGGCCCGAAUCCGAGCCCAAACCUAGGUAAAAGUUAACCUCCCAACGAAGGAAAUUGACUUCGCCAACGACCACCUCCCAAGCCACCUCCCUCCUGCCCAACAAACGCCAACACCACAGCUCGAGCCGCGAACAACCUUAAUCAAUUUGGAACCCAAACUUAUCCGUUGAACCACCGCAGCCCGGCGUCCCCGUCCAUCUGCCGUCGUUGUUUCUGACGACCUAGCUUCCUUGCAAAGACUCAACUCAAUUCCAGAUCGGCGAAACCCAAUCCAGACUCGUAUUGCCAAACCGCUCCGCAAAGAUCGGAGCAUCGUGGCCUUUUUUUUUUUUCUCGUUGUGAAUGAUAGUGGACGAUGAAUAUGUCAUAAUUGGAUCUGCAAAUAUCGAUCAGCGAUCCAUGGAAGGUACCCGAGAUACUGAAAUAGCAAUGGGAGCAUAUCAGCCUCAUCAUACUUGGGCAAGAAAGCUCUCACGUCCACGGGGAAAGGUAAAUCGAUCAAAUGAUAUACCCUUGAGAAGAAUUUUAACCAAUAUGUUAAUUUGAAUUUGCUUGAAAUGUCUGAUUGCAGGUAUAUGGAUAUAGAAUGUCACUGUGGCAAGAGCACAUAGGACUUGUUGAAGAAUGUUUCAAGCAGCCAGAGAGUCUUGACUGUGUCCGAAGGGUAAGGACUCUGAGUGAGCAGAACUGGAGCCAAUACGUAGCUGAUGAAGUGACGGACAUGAACGGUCGUCACCUCCUGAGAUAUCCUAUUGAAGUUGAUCAAUUCGGAAAUGUGAUGGCUCUUUCCGGGUGUACAGACUUUCCAGACGUCAAUGGAUACAUAUUGGGGAGUCCCGGCGACAUAAGGAACAUUCUAGGGAUCAGAAGGUUUGUGCCGUGGGAAUUACCAUUCCCAUGGAAGAAGAGAGAAAAUGUCACCACCUGCUCUAUCAUGUGAUUUUGUUCAUUUCUUUUACCUUUGUUCAUAUAUUUGACCUCCUAUGUUUUUAUAUUAUGUUUUCUAAUCUUAACUUCUUAACUAUUCAUAUAUGUGUGUAGAAAUAUGUCAGUCGUGUAUUGAAGAUGUUUUAUUGUAAUAAUCAUUGAAUCGUGAGUUUCUUUUUCUUUUUCUUUCCUUCUUAAGGUGGGAUCUUCCAGCUCGGCCUAGCCCACUAAAAGCUCGAUUCGCUUAUCUUUCGCGAAAAUUAUACAGAUAACCACGCGCCCAAAUUUCGUCCAGCCCAAAUUUCUUGUUUUCUCCUCAUACUGAUAACCACGCGCCUAAGUCUUCGUCUUCCUCUUGCUCAUUUGGUACAGAAGACUUGGUCCAUUCUGGGGUUUCCAUUCUUCGAUCGAAAGGAGAUUAUAGAUAUAAGCAACUUGCCUAGUUGUACCUUGUUUUGCAUGCUAUUCAUUUCAACUACUCCCACUUGUUUUGUGUCUGUUAAUUGAACAAUGCUGCUUCUGGGUCUUCGUCUUCGUGUUCCAUUGCUAGUCCACUCUGACAGCUCAAGUGUUGUUCUUUGGAUUCCUUUAAUUAUAUUAAUGGUCUCAAGCUUAGCAUCUUCUGCAUUGUCAACACCCAUUACAUGUUUGGUGCCUAUCAUUUCAGUUUUGGCCAACUCUCUCUGGUUUUCCAGAACUCCACCAUAUCUGUGUACCACCCAUUUGAUAGCUUUACUUGCUUCAGUGUUGAGCAACAGGACAUUUUGGGGUCUAUGUGAACUGGGUUUUUGCACAUACCCCGAAAGUUUGGGCCUUUAUUGGAUUUCGGGUUAGUGUUGAAAUUGAAUUUCAUUGAGAUUUGUUUGCAAAUCUAGUAUUAGUUCAACUUCUUUGAAGAGGUUAGAGGUAUUCUUUGAUGGCCAAUCUGGGUUAUAAGGAAUCGCUGUCAUUUGGAGGCUCAGGCCAUGCGCAGGGGCAACAAGUUGUGCCAUUUGAGAGUGGUGCAUUGAAGCUUUUGCUACAUGGGGCCCUAGUUAUAUGUGUCAAUGAGGCCAAGAACCUUCCUGCCAUGGAGGGUUUGCAUAAGCAUAUGGGGCGUGUCAUUGCGAAAGUGCCUGGGAGAAGUAGCAAAACAACAACCAGUGCUCCCUAUGUUACAAUUGCACUGUCAGGUGCUGUAGUUGGGAGGACCUUUGUGAUUAGUAAUAAUCAGAACCCGGUUUGGAAGCAGCAUUUUGAUGUUCCGGUCGCGCACUAUGCUUCAGAAGUGCAUUUUGUUGUGAAGCAUAAUGAUAUGGUGGGAUCUCAGAUCAUAGGUUCUGUGGGUAUCCCAGUUGAAGAGUUAUACGCUGGUUUUAAAAUUGAGGGAACCUUCCCUAUUCUUAACUCCACCGGUCAUAUCUGUAUGCCUGGAGUUGUUUUGAGCUUAUCAAUUCAGUAUACCUCAUUUGAAAAGUUGACCUUUUAUAAUCGUGGGAUAGGUUCAGAUCCUGAUCAUCAAGGGGUCCCUGGUACUUACUUUCCUCUUAGGAGAGGUGGUAAAGUAACUCUGUAUCAAGAUGCUCAUGUUCCUGAUGGUUGCCUUCCCAAGUUUGAGCUUGAUGGUGGUCUUGAGUAUAAGCAUGGAAAUUGUUGGCAAGACAUAUUUGAUGCAAUAAAUCAGGCGCGUCGCUUGAUAUACAUUACUGGGUGGUCAUUGUACCACAAAGUUACUUUGGUUCGGGAUAAUCAUGGUGCAUCAAAUUGCACAUUAGGGGAUCUUCUUAAGAACAAGUCACAGGAAGGUGUGAGAGUGCUGCUGCUUGUAUGGGAUGAUCCAACUUCAAGGGAUAUUAUGGGAUCUAUAAAGGUAAAGCUUAAGGUGAUUUUUGUAUAUUAAGUACUUGAUUGUACAAGUUACUAUCUGUCAUUGUUAAGUCUCUCAAAUCAUAAAUGCCUUUGCCUAUCUGAUAAGUUGUCAUCGGGUGAACCAGUACUGAUUGGUACUUGUAGCUAUGGAAAAGCUAUUUUUGAUUAUCUAAUUGGUAUUUUCUUCCCCUAUUAUUUUCCUUAGUAAUGAAUGUGAUACAAAGGCUAUGUUUUUGGCUGAACUGACAAGAUUUAUCCUUUCUUUAUCAGUUCCAGUGUUCGUUUGUCACUGAAUUACUCAUCACUACUCAAAUCAGCAUUCAAUAUAUCUUAUUUCACCAGAUAUUAUUCUAUGAUGUGUAGGGAGGGCUCAUGAAAACAGAUGAUGAGGAACUUCGACGUUUCUUCAAAAACUCUUCAGUCCAAGUGCUUCUUUGCCCUCGAUCUGCUGGAGAGGGUACCUGGGCCAAAAAGCAGGUUUGGUAGAAUGUCUUUCCUUGUUUGCCUUUCUUUCUUUACAAACUUUUUACAGUGUGGUGCUGAAAUCUAUUUACAAGAAAUAAGAACUAACAUUUCAUAUGGCUGACAACUGACCAACUUUAAGUGUAGGUUGAAUGGUCUGUGUAGUAAUGUGCCACUAUGUUAAAUGUUUUCUGGCUAAUGUGUGCAAAGAAUGUCUCUUUUUUACAUGUCCUUGUUCACCGUUAUACUUCUGGGACAUAUCUGGUUUAUCUUGUCCUGUGCUGUUAACAUCAAAAGAAAGUCAUUUGUUCUCUUCUCAUGCAUAAUUUUCUAACUAGUUCUUGCUUUGAACCUUCUGAUAUUUGUAUUUGGUUAUAGGAAGCUGGAAUAAUCUAUACCCAUCAUCAGAAAACUGUGCUUGUGGAUACUGAUGCUGGUCAUUCUAAGAGAAAGAUCAUCGCAUUUGUUGGAGGUCUCGAUUUAUGUCGGGGACGUUAUGAUACUCCAGAGCAUCCUAUCUUUAGGACGUUACAAACAGUGCACAAGGAUGACAAUCAUAACCCUACUUUCUCGGUAACCAUUGUAUUCAGUUUCUACCAUGCUGUAGUACAUAUAUUUGCUGUUCUUUACCUGAGAAGUGUACUCUUCUGGGUUAUGCAGUCUAAUUAGACAAGGCUCAUGCAUUACUCUACUAAGUGCUAUAAAAUGUUCUGUUUGAAAACCACACAAUACCUAAGCAGUGUCCAGGAUUAGAUGCCUAAUAUAUUUAUAAUACAGUGUUGAUAAUUUAGAAUACCUAAGCACUGGCCAAUCUUUCUCAAGUGUUUACCACACUUUUACGAUCCUAUAUGAAGCAUCUAGUACAAUUUUGCUAUUUUAUCAGCAGAUUUCUCACGAAAGUAUAAGUGAUGACCUUGAUGUUGGAUUUCUACAGUAACAAAUAUUAUCACAAGGAUAUCUUUUCUUCAUUUUCACCUUGUAAUCCCCUUGUUUUCUAUUCAUAAACAGAAGCCUGUUAUUGGGUGUCCAAGGGAGCCAUGGCAUGAUUUGCACAGUAAAAUUGAUGGUCCAGCUGCUUAUGACAUCCUCACCAACUUUGAGCAGCGUUGGGGGAUGGCUUCAAAACCACAUGGUCUUCAUAAACUGAAGGAACGAGGGCUUCAAAAGCUGAAAGCACGAGGGCUUCAUAAACUAGAAACACAAGAAGAUGGUGAUGUUGAUGAUGCAUUACUUAAGAUUGAGAAAAUUCCUGAACUUAUUGGGAUGACAGAGGUGUCUCGCUUGAGUGAGGAUGAUAUAGAAGCUUGGGAUGUUCAGGUAUGUUCGAUGUCAUUCUGUCAAUCAGCUAAUAUCCUUGUUUUUUCUUGAAUCUAUAUGCAUAGUUAUUUGUUGACCAUUUCAUGAACAAUAUUGUAGGUUUUCCGCUCAAUUGAUUCUAAUUCAGCGAAGGGAUUUCCCGAAGACCCCAAAGAUGCGACAAGCAUGGUAAGAGAAACUUUGUUUUCUAACUUUGCACUUUGAUAAGUUAUACCACAUACUUUGUGCUGAAUUGCUAAUAGAUCACCAACUCUCUCUCUCUCUCUCUCUCUCUCUCUCUCUCUCUCUCUCUGCCAUAACAGAACCUGGUUUGUGGGAAAAAUGUGCUGAUAGACAUGAGUAUACAUGCAGCUUAUGUGAAAGCAAUCCGUGCAGCUCAACAUUUUAUUUACAUAGAGAACCAGUACUUUCUUGGAUCAUCAUAUAAUUGGAACUCAUACAAUAAUUUAGGUAAGAACUCUAACCUUCGCAGCAGCAUUUUGGGAAAUGAACUAGAGAUGGUUCAUUACGUCUGUCAAUGUUCCCUUUCUCGUUUCAUUCGUGUCAUUAAUAUGAUGCUCAUCCGGUUACUUCAUAAACUGAGUCAUAUUCAGAGUCAGCUUUAUAUUGUAAUCACAAAUGCGAAAGCAUGAAGUCAGAUGGGUAUUUGUUGAUUAGAUGAUGAAUGUUUGGUUUUAUUAGACUCAAGAGUAUUACGAUUGGUUAGUAUAUUCAGGAUCAGGAUGUGGUAUCUUCUACAUUGAGCACCAACUAAAGAUUUUGCUAAUGUUUUUACCUUGUGCCCAUCUUGGUUGAAGUGUUUCAAGAAGGCACAAAGAGACAAGUAACUGUAUUAAACUUGUAUAAACUAUGCUUCUAUCAUCCUAGAGAUAUCAGCAAUAAUGCGUAUAAUGCCUUUAUCUGCAGGUGCAAACAACUUGAUACCAAUGGAAAUUGCUCUGAAAAUCGUGAAUAAAAUCAAAGCAAAUGAGAAGUUUUCUGUGUAUAUUGUUAUACCCAUGUGGCCAGAAGGUGAUCCUACAAGCGUUCCUAUUCAACGAAUUCUCCUUUGGCAGGUAAAUAGUUACAAUUUAUAUCUGUUAUUACUGUAGGCCUGUUUGCUAGUUUCUGCAGAUGCUACGAUGAACCUCCUCUUUUGGAGCUAGCUGUAUCUCUUUUCUCCUUAUGAAGCAUGUGUCAAAUCCAAAUUUAGUUCAACUUAUCAUAAGUACAACAAAUUAUCUUCUAACAAUUGGUAUGGAUCAUAAUUCAGUUUGAUUGUCGUCUAACACCAAUGCUGUAACACAAACAUGACCUUAUGGGGUGCAUAUUUUCACCGGAUGUUAACCUUUGUGCAGCAUAAAACAAUGCAAAUGAUGUAUGAAAUGAUUUACAAGGCUUUAAAAGAUGUUGGACAUGAAAACACGUACUGUCCACAAGACUAUCUGAAUUUCUUUUGCCUGGGGAAUCGUGAGAAUGGAGAAAACAAUUCUGCUGCAAGUAAUCUAAGUGAAGCAAACACUCCUUAUGUAUGUUCCAUUAAUUGCAUUCUGUUAAGCAGAUAUUUUCCUCUAUUCCAGAAACUAUGUUUUCUAAUAUACUUCAAUUGUUUCUGUGGUUAUCUAGACACUUUCUCAGAAGAGUCGGCGCUUUAUGAUCUAUGUUCAUUCUAAAGGAAUGAUAGUGGAUGAUGAAUAUGUCAUAAUUGGAUCUGCAAAUAUCAAUCAGCGAUCCAUGGAAGGUCCCCGAGAUACUGAAAUAGCAAUGGGGGCUUAUCAGCCUCAUCAUACUUGGGCAAGAAAACUCUCAAGUCCACAUGGAAAGGUAAUAUGUGAAAACUGUGUGUGUGCGUGUGUGUGUGUGUCUUUGAAGCCGAUAGAACUCAUAGAAGUAUCUUGCACAUGAUGAAAUGAUAAUCCAUUCUUAGAACUUCAACCAAUAUAGACUGUUAGACGCUUAGAGCAUACAAUUUUAUGGAUUGUGUACGAAAGUAAAUUGGUAACCCAUGUGUGAUUGCAGGUAUAUGGAUAUAGAAUGUCACUGUGGGCAGAGCAUAUAGGACUUGUUGAAGAAUGUUUCAAGCAGCCAGAGAGUCUUGAAUGUGUCCAAAGAGUAAGGACUUUGAGUGAGCAGAACUGGAGUCAAUACAUAGCCGAUGAAGUCACAGACAUGAAGGGUCACCUCCUGAAAUAUCCGGUUGAAGUUAGUCCAACUGGAAAGGUGGAGCCUCUUCCGGGGUGUGCAGCAUUUCCAGACAUUGGUGGCUACAUAUUGGGGAGUCUCGGCGACAUAGGGAAGAGUCUAGGGAUCACUAGUAUUAGUGGGAGAGGGAUAUCAUUCAGAGCCAUGCAAGAAAAUCUCACAAUCUGAUUCUGAUCGAAGUUUAGUAACUUUCCUUCUUUCAAUCAUCCUUGUAAUUUUGUACAAUUUAAGGUAAAACUAAAACCACUUAAACUCUAAUUGUGAAUUUGUGAUCACUAUUUAACCCUUAACAUUACAAGUCUCGGAGAACUUCUUCAUAUUCAUCAACCGGCAUUCCGACUUGGUUCUGGACAGUGACCAUGACGUCAAGCUUCUCCCGGCGAGGUCCGGUUCGGAAAGCUUUAACAACGGCUUGUCGUACCUGGUGCACCAUCUCGUUAACCUCCUCAAACUUGGCGCCACCGUAAAGUGGACGGCCAAUUUUGGUGAUCAUCUGAUCGAUGACGCCGAUGUCGUCCUCGUCGACGAAGGUGAACAGCUGGUACUUGAGAUCUUUAAACUCGGCCGUUAGGAAAUCGAGGUUGACGACCCGCCUUGAUCGGUCGUCGGAGCAGUAGCACUUUCUGAAAACGUUCCACAUAAACGAGACGCUCAUUUGAUGAUCGUCUCGGAGUUUCCUUUUCCGACUGGAUUCUGGGGUGGUGGAGUCUUUAUUGCCGGCGACGUCAGAGAUGAAGAUGUGGAAAAGGAAGUCGAAAUUUGAAGACGGCAUCUUGAAGAAUCAGGGAAGAAUUGCAGAGCCUAAAAUGGAAGGAGUGUUUUUAUAUAGGCAUCGGAUGUUCUACAAUUAUUAGGAGUAGGAAAUGCUUUUUCCUUUCACGAAUAGGAGACGAGCAUUUUCCAAGUAUUAGUAGGAUUCGGUAAUAAGUUUUAGAAAUGGUUAAAAGUCUUUUCCAAGUCUAGUUAGGAUUAAUACUUCUUUCCAUAUAGUUCAAGGAUUGAUGCUUAUAUAUAUAAGAGCGGCACACACCUUAGAUUCUAUAUUUCAUUCUAUUUUCUCUUUGCUUUUAGUUGAUUCAAUCCAUUAGUUGCUCACCCGAGAGUAGUGCAUCAUCUUUCUCUUACUAGCUUUCAUUCCCUUACAAUACUAAUGGCAGUACCACCCAACCACCCGUUCAAGAAGCUCCUCAUCGUCGGUGACAAAGGUGUUGGGAAGACCAACCUUCUUCUUCGAUUCUCGGAUAUACCUAUAGCAGGGAUAGAACUUGGAGUGAAAACAAUUGAGUUGGGCAACGAAUUACCAGAACUUGCUACCGCUGAUGGUAUUUUGUUGAUGUAUGAUGUGACCAAUGAGUUAUCAUUCGAGCAUAUUCUUAAAUACAUGCAUAAUUUUCCGAAAAAUGUGAAGAAGAUACUGGUGGGGAACAAGGCGGACAUGGAUGAUGAGAGCAAAAGAGCAGUGCGGAGACGUAGAGGUCAAACUCUUGCGGAUAUAUAUGAAAUCAUGUUCUUGGAAACCAGUGCAGAGACCAACAAGAAUGUUGAAGACGUUUUCUUUGCAUUAGCCUUGAGCACUUAGGAUUACAGAAAGGUCAUGAAUCAUGAUCUUGCUGUUGCCUCUUUUUCUUGAACAAUUUUUUUUUUUUAAAUUUCAAACAAUCAUUUGUCAUCAAUGACGUUUAGAAUCAGUUUGUUCUUGUUACUUUGAAGAAGGCUUUGUAUUACUGUUUUCAAUGUCAAUUCUAGAAAUCUAGUCUAAUCUAGUCAAGUAUAGUUUUUCAAUCUAACCCAUUAUUAGACGUAACUUUGCGCCUAAAAGUUAAGGUAGAAAGUUCAAGUUAACCAAUUAGAUGCAUCUUUCAAAUUUUAUGUCGUAUUACAUCAUAUGAUUCAUAUCAUGCUCUCCUUUACGCAUCUCACAAAGACAUAGUGGAUCUAAGUAUCUCAAGGCCGCCUCUAGUGGGAUGUGAUAUGGAACGCAUAAGAACAUGAUAUCAAUUUGUAUUAUUCAUAUAAUUUGAGUAUGAUCACAUUCACACCCCCUUGAGAAUGAAGACUUCACACUCGAUUCUGUUAGCAGAACUAACAAUUCUGAGAUGGAUAGCCAGCAACAAAAGUAAAACUACAUUUUGGGACUGUACUUUCUAGACAUGUUCUAACUUCUAGGCCGAUCAUAGCGUAAUAUUUCUUUGCCUUUGAAAGAAAUGCAUUGUUACUUUCAUCGGCAGAACUAAUUAUAAAAGAGAAAAAUUCAUUAACGGUCUCUAAAUUAUUAUGUCAAGGCCAAUUUAAUAUCUGAAUUUUUAAAAGUAUCAAAGUGAUACCAACAAGAUACAUCCGUCAAUAUUUUACGACGGACCGUCAAUUUGCUGACGACACAGACAUAUAAAGACAAAAAAAAAGUUAAUUAACCAAUUUACCCUUCUUUCAUUUUUUUUUUUUUUGUUCUUGUUCUUGUUCUUCAUGUACAGCUACAACCUUGCCAGAAACAGACAUUUACAUCUGCACACUUGGCUUCUCUUUGUUCUUAUUCUCUCAAACGAAUCCUGACUACCGCCGAUUACAACCAGAACCCUCAGAUGCGGUCUUCUCCUUCCUCUUGUGCUUCUUGCUCUUCUCAACAAGCAUUACAGUACAGAUCCAACUAUCCAGCAAGUACCAAAAACCCAGGAAAAAAAAUCGGUCACCAACCCAACUAUGUCCACAAGUGAUUGGACACCCAGAUUUGUGGCAUCUGAAAGCUUUACAAUUCCGAGAUUAUUGAUGAGAAAGAGGCGAAGAAGAGAGAAUUUGGUUUUGGUGGCUCAAGCAAUUUGGCGACGCGCUUUGCAUGUUCGAGAGCGACCAGUCGAUCGUCUUCCUCCUCGAAUGCGGCUUCGAAUGAGUCCUUGGAUUGCUGCUUCAUUCUUCUCCGAAUUCGAUUCAAAUAAUCUCUCUGAUAAGUUUCUGCCCAUUCGAAUUCUAGUCCAAUACUUGCCUUGUUUGAAUGAGUUUGAGACUACUCAUCUUCAGAAAAGAAAAGAAAAAAACAGUCACGUCUAACUCUAAUCCCAUACUAGCCUUACAGCAUAGCUAUUCUUUUCACCACUGGUACAUUGCAGCAAGUCACUCAAUAUGGAAAAUCAUUGGCAAAAUUUGGGGAUCCAAAAUAUUUUAAUACUCCUCUGACUUUGAUCCGGAAAAGGUAGGAUGAAGAAUCAAUUUGGAGUUUUUUUUUUCGAUAGAGAGAACCAAUUUGGAGUUGUAGUAUUUGAGUUUUAUUUUUUCAAUUAAUUUUUCUGUGAGAUUUGACUUCUGGCUAAAAAGUCCAUUUUGUCCUUUUGUUUUGGGACCAAUGUGUUGAUACGUUAGCAAAUUAACAGCUCAGUCACAGAAAUUAGACGGAAGUAUCUCGUUGAUGUCAAAAUCAAUGUUUGGGUAUCACAUUGAUACUUUUUAAAUUUCGGGUAUCACAUUGACCUUGGCACAAUAAUUUAGGGACCGUUGGUGAAUUUUUCUGGUUAUAAAACUUGUUCCUAGUGGUCUACUAAACAUCUAUGGGCUUAGAUUAGGAGCCCAAAUUAGGCAAGAUUGAACCCAACUUCCAGAACACCCGCCUUAUAAUUUAUAUAGUUGCCUCCUUCCUCUUUGGAAAUGACAGCGGAACUCUGCCGGCUCCUUGGACCCAUUUUUGACUCAGAAGAAAACCACACACAUCAAACCAAACCCACCCGAAGUCUGCAACUCGUGGAACUUUCCAAGUACACCCUCAUUCACUUUCAACGCCAUUUUAUUUAAUUGUUCAUAUUCGUCUAAUUUCGCUUUGAAUAUUCCUGGUUACCCUUUAACAAUGCCAAAGUCUGCUCCUUUUUCUUCAUCAUCAUAUUCUUCUUGUUCUUCCUUCUCAUCCCAAAUUCAAAGGCGACGACUUCAUUCUUAUUUUCACUGUUUCUAGCCUACCCUCUUUUACUUUUUCAAUACCCAUCACAUUUUUAUUGAAUCCUUGGGGUUUUGGUGAGUUGGGUAUUUAGAAAGAACCCAACUUUAGUUUCUGUUUGAUAAAAGAGUCCAGAUUGAUCAUAUCCAAUCCAGUUUUGCUGCAAUGUCUAGUCAUGGUUAUACUGAAUCCUUGUCGUUUGGAGGCUCAGGCCAUAUUCAGGGUCAGCAAGUUGUGCCGUUUAGGACAGGUAGUAUAUCUCUGAAGCUUCAGCUGCUUCAUGGGAACUUGGUUAUAUUGGUCAAAGAGGCCAAGAACCUUCCUAACAUGGAUGCGUUUCACAAGACUCUGGGGGAUAUUGUUGCUAAAUUGCCUGGGACUGGCAGCAACAAGAUCACUAGUGAUCCGUAUGUGACGGUUUCAGUUGCACGUGCGGUGGUUGGGAGGACCUUUGUGAUUAGUAAUAGUGAGAAUCCUGUUUGGGAGCAGUAUUUUGAUGUUCCGGUUGCGCAUUAUGCUUCACAAGUGCAUUUUGUUGUGAAAGAUAGUGAUGUUGUGGGUUCACAGCUCAUAGGUGUUGUGGCAAUCCCAG